This 306-nucleotide ribosomal RNA is filed under the name uncultured soil bacterium. RNAcentral describes it as "bacterial SSU rRNA". It matches the Rfam family "Bacterial small subunit ribosomal RNA", at positions 231 to 529 of the family's 1533-position model. The record is from RNAcentral.
CGAUGCCGGAUUAGCUUGUUGGCGGGGUAAAAGCCCACCAAGGCGACGAUCCGUAGCUGGUUUGAGAGAACGACCAGCCACACUGGGACUGAGACACGGCCCAGACUCCUACGGGAGGCAGCAGUGGGGAAUUUUGGACAAUGGGCGAAAGCCUGAUCCAGCCAUGCCGCGUGAGUGAAGAAGGCCUUCGGGUUGUAAAGCUCUUUCGGCGGGGACGAAAUAGCGCGGGGUAACAUCCCGCGUCGAUGACGGUACCCGAAGAAGAAGGACCGGCUAACUACGUGCCAGCAGCCGCGGUAAUACGUA